RNAcentral lists this ribosomal RNA (251 nucleotides) under uncultured bacterium. RNAcentral's name for it is "partial 16S ribosomal RNA". It matches the Rfam family "Bacterial small subunit ribosomal RNA", at positions 524 to 774 of the family's 1533-position model. The record is from RNAcentral.
UACGUAGGGUGCAAGCGUUAUCCGGAUUCACUGGGUUUAAAGGGUGCGUAGGUGGGUUGGUAAGUCAGUGGUGAAAUCCCCGAGCUUAACUUGGGAACUGCCAUUGAUACUAUCAGUCUUGAAUACCGUGGAGGUCAGCGGAAUAUGUCAUGUAGCGGUGAAAUGCUUAGAUAUGACAUAGAACACCAAUUGCGAAGGCAGCUGGCUACACGAAUAUUGACACUGAGGCACGAAAGCGUGGGGAUCAAACA